CACGUAGGGUGCGAGCGUUGUCCGGAAUUAUUGGGCAUAAAGAGCUCGUAGGCGGUGUGUCGCGUCGGCCGUGAAAACCUGCAGCUUAACUGUGGGCUUGCGGUCGAUACGGGCAUCACUGGAGUUCGGCAGGGGAGACUGGAAUUCCUGGUGUAGCGGUGAAAUGCGCAGAUAUCAGGAGGAACACCGGUGGCGAAGGCGAGUCCCUGGACAGGUCCUGACGCUGAGGCACGAAAGCUAGGGGAGCAAACAGG
RNAcentral lists this ribosomal RNA (254 nucleotides) under uncultured bacterium. Its description in RNAcentral is "partial 16S ribosomal RNA". It matches the Rfam family "Bacterial small subunit ribosomal RNA", at positions 524 to 776 of the family's 1533-position model. The record is from RNAcentral.